Molecule: long non-coding RNA, 201 nt
Filed under: Linum usitatissimum (flax)
Lineage: Eukaryota; Viridiplantae; Streptophyta; Magnoliopsida; Malpighiales; Linaceae
Description: long non-coding RNA (LUSI_LNC002760)
Source: RNAcentral
GUUAAUACUAUCUUUGUCGAUGAUGGCGAACGCUAUGGUGAGAAUGUUAUGGUUCCCAUCAAAUGAACUUUCCAUCAGCAGAUUUUCCAGUGCGAAAGUGUCGUCCACAACUAGCAUAGGUGGACAAUGCCGGAAACCGUGGAUGUAGAGUAGGAAGCUUCAGAAUACUAACUUGAAUUGCUUAAGUGCACCACCACCAAC